UACAGAGGUGGCAAGCGUUGUUCGGAAUUACUGGGCGUAAAGGGCGCGUAGGCGGUCUUUUGAGUCUUGUGUGAAAUCCCUCGGCUCAACUGAGGAACUGCACGGGAUACUGGAAGACUUGAGUUCGGGAGAGGGAAGCGGAAUUCCGGGUGUAGCGGUGAAAUGCGCAGAUAUCAGGAGGAACACCGAUGGCGAAGGCAGGUCUCUGGGCAGUAACUGACGCUGAGGAGCGAAAGCAUGGGGAGCGAACAGG
Molecule: ribosomal RNA, 253 nt
Filed under: uncultured bacterium
Lineage: Bacteria
Description: partial 16S ribosomal RNA
Rfam family: Bacterial small subunit ribosomal RNA
Source: RNAcentral